Molecule: ribosomal RNA, 912 nt
Filed under: Triticum aestivum (bread wheat)
Lineage: Eukaryota; Viridiplantae; Streptophyta; Magnoliopsida; Poales; Poaceae
Description: partial small subunit ribosomal RNA
Source: RNAcentral
AUGCUCCCUUCAUUCGGCCUCAACCACCGGAGCCACGUCGCCUCCCCGCCAUGGCGCCCGCGCCUCCAGCAGUGCUGCGCCAACAGCGUCGCGGGUGACCCCCUUCCUCUCCCGUUGUGCCGUCGUUCUGGCCAGCGAGCCCAUCUCCUCCUCGAGCUGCUCCGCCGCUGCUGUGCUCUCAGCCUCCGGCAGCCGCUGCUGCGGUUCGGCGCCCCUGCUUCUCCUUCGUCACCGGCGAGCCACGCCGUCCUCCACGAGCAGCCGAGGGCCAGUACAUCUCCGCCGCGUCCUCCUUCUCAUCUGUGUUCGCCCCGUCGCAAGGGAGCGCGGGCCCAUGUGCCCUUCCAUGUCGUCACAGCCUCGCGGGAGCCACCGCUGCUGACGUCCAGUGGGACGCCCUGUCGCAGGACCUCGCCGUCCACCUCCUUUGCUUCGUCGUCGCUGCUAGGGCCGCCCCAUCUCUUGAUCUGGAGAGGAUCCGGCAGGCACAGCUCACCCCAACCACCGUGCCCUGCAUCCCGCAGCUGGCCGCCUCCAGCCCCCGUUCGCGACCGCACCAAGUCCAGCAAGGCGUCGCCCGUACACGUUGAAUGCGCUGAGUCCAUGCAUCGCGCCCCAGUUGCUGUUAACGCCAAGUCCAAGGGUCACCGAACAGGGAAUGACGCCAAGUACCAGGUCAAUGAGGACCGUCAAGUUCGUCUUCCGCCGUCUCCGAAAUCGACAAGUGCUACACGGAAACGCCAAGUACCCCUACGCGCGAAGACGCCAAGACCGUUUCGGGAUUCACCAAGUAUCGCUACCGAUGGCUCGAACAUCUACGAAAACGUGUAUGACCGUCGUCGAAACUGUAAAGUACCUCUACGCACGGAUAUCGCCAAGUACCACGAUACUGAUGACAUCCAUUACUACUAG